GACGAACGCUGGCGGCGUGCUUAACACAUGCAAGUCGAACGGAAAGGGCUUUCUUUUGUGGCGUGCUCGAGUGUCGCACGUGUGAAUAACCCCUUGGUAGCCUGCCAUUGGCUUGAGGCUACUUUCAAUACACCGUGGCCUGAGCCGCAAAAGGAGGAAUGCUCCCGAGGGGGGGUUGGCGUCUGAUUAGCUAGUUGGUGAGGCAAUAGCUUUCUAAGGCGAUGAUCAGUGUAUGGUCUGAGAGGAUGAUCAGCCAGUCGGGGACUGAGACACGUCCCAGACUCCGAGGGGAAGCAGCAGUGGGGAAUUUACCGCAAUGGGAGAAAGCCUGACGGAGCAAUGCGGGGGGGAGGUAGAAGGCCCACGGGUCGUGAACUGCUUUUCCCGGAGAAGAAGGAAUGACGGUAACUGGGGAAUAAGCACCGGCUAACUCUGUG
This 437-nucleotide ribosomal RNA is filed under the name uncultured bacterium. RNAcentral's name for it is "partial 16S ribosomal RNA". It matches the Rfam family "Bacterial small subunit ribosomal RNA", at positions 28 to 507 of the family's 1533-position model. The record is from RNAcentral.